AUGGGCUAAUACUAAAAAACAAUGGG
This 26-nucleotide non-coding RNA is filed under the name Cricetulus griseus (Chinese hamster). Lineage: Eukaryota; Metazoa; Chordata; Mammalia; Rodentia; Cricetidae. The record is from RNAcentral.